UAAUCAGUGGAAGUAAAGUAUGAAGAAAAAGAGAAGAACAACAGGAGGUGAAAUCUCAAAGGAGUGUCAUGAGAACACAGAUCCUAUGGUUUCUUUACAUUUUCAUUGAAACCAUUGAGUUUGUGUUCUCAGGUCACCCCUUUGAAUCUCCCCUGUUCCUUUAUUUUACCUUACCAAAAUUA
This 182-nucleotide microRNA precursor is filed under the name Arabidopsis lyrata. RNAcentral describes it as "miR398a stem-loop (aly-MIR398a)". Its record names the gene aly-MIR398a. The stretch from base 49 to 152 matches the Rfam family "MIR398 microRNA precursor family". Lineage: Eukaryota; Viridiplantae; Streptophyta; Magnoliopsida; Brassicales; Brassicaceae. The record is from miRBase by way of RNAcentral.